Long non-coding RNA from Oncorhynchus tshawytscha (Chinook salmon), 1284 nucleotides. Lineage: Eukaryota; Metazoa; Chordata; Actinopteri; Salmoniformes; Salmonidae. The record is from Ensembl.
GUUCUGAGGAGGAUAACCUCUCUGUUCUACUGUUGGUUCUGAGGAGGAUAACCUCUCUGUUCUACUGUUGUUUCUGAGGAGGAUAACCUCUCUGUUCUACUGUUGGUUCUGAGGAGGAUAACCUCUCUGUUCUACUGUUGGUUCUGAGGAGGAUAACCUCUCUCUGUUCUACUGUUGGUUCUGAGGAGGAUAACCUCUCUCUCUGCUCUACUGUUGGUUCUGAGGAGGAUAACCUCUCUGUUCUACUGUUGGUUCUGAGGAGGAUAACCUCUCUGUUCUACUGUUGGUUCUGAGGAUAACAUCUCUGUUCUACUGUUGGUUUUGAGGAGGAUAACAUCUCUGUUCUACUGUUGGUUUUGAGGAGGAUAACCUCUCUCUCUGUUCUACUGUUGGUUCUGAGGAGGAUAACAUCUCUGUUCUACUGUUGGUUUUGGGGAGGAUAACCUCCCUGUUCUACUGUUGGUUCUGAGGAGGAUAACCUCUGUUCUACUGAGGAUAACCUCUCUGUUCUACUGUUGGUUCUGAGGAGGAUAACCUCUCUGUUCUACUGUUGGUUCUGAGGAGGAUAACCUCUGUUCUACUGUUGGUUCUGAGGAGGAUAACCUCUCUGUUCUACUGUUGGUUCUGAGGAGGAUAACCUCUCUGUUCUACUGUUGGUUCUGAGGAGGAUUAUCUCUCUGCUCUACUGUUGGUUCUGAGGAGGAUAGCCUCUCUGUUCUACUGUUGGUUCUGAGGAGGAUUACCUCUGUUCUACUGUUGGUUCUGAGGAUAACCUCUGUUCUACUGUUGGUUCUGAGGAGGGUAGUCUCUCCACAAAGCGUCUUUAAGAGUAGUACUGGUCUAGGAUCAGGUCCUCCUUGUCCCUAACAAUCUGAAUCAUUUGAAUCUAAAACACUACACUAAGACGCUUUGUGGAUACGUCUAACAGGGUCCAGAGCUAGGGAGGGUUCCUGCUGUUCUGUUGUGGCCCAGUCCGGAACAGACCCAGGCUGCCUACUGUAAGACCCUGUGAGGCUUGGCUAGAUUCACUCCAGGUUACAUAAUGACAACAGACUGGCUUGUGUUGCUGGCUACUGUCAGAUUCUAUUCAUCCACACAGUUGGUUUUAAAAAGGGGACUUUGGCCUUUUAAAAUGUGUUUCAAGCCUUUCAUACAUUUACGCAUUAAACAUUUCCUGCUGUGGAAAAUAUGUGGAUUGGAAUUUGUCCAUUUUAAAAGUUAAUAGUAAAAUGUUGUUAGAGUUCCUUUCAAAGGAUGAUUUGAAAUAAACUAAUUUUGAGUUAA